GACGAACCGUACGAACGUUAUUCGGAAUCACUGGGCUUAAAGGGUGCGUAGGCGGCGCGGAAAGUUGGGUGUGAAAUCCCUCGGCUUAACCGAGGAACUGCGCUCAAAACUACCGUGCUCGAGGGAGACAGAGGUGAGCGGAACUUAGGGUGGAGCGGUGAAAUGCGUUGAUAUCCUAAGGAACACCGGUGGCGAAAGCGGCUCACUGGGUCUCUUCUGACGCUGAGGCACGAAAGCUAGGGGAGCGAACGGG
RNAcentral lists this ribosomal RNA (253 nucleotides) under uncultured bacterium. Its description in RNAcentral is "partial 16S ribosomal RNA". It matches the Rfam family "Bacterial small subunit ribosomal RNA", at positions 524 to 776 of the family's 1533-position model. The record is from RNAcentral.